Molecule: ribosomal RNA, 380 nt
Filed under: uncultured eukaryote
Lineage: Eukaryota
Description: partial 18S ribosomal RNA
Rfam family: Eukaryotic small subunit ribosomal RNA
Source: RNAcentral
CAAUAGCGUAUAUUAAAGUUGUUGCAGUUAGAACGCUCGUAGUCGGAUUUCGGGGCGGGUCGACCGGUCUGCCGAUGGGUACGCACUGGCCGACGCGUCCUUCCUUCCGGAGACCGUCCCUACUCUUAACUGAGCGGGGGCGGGAGACGGAACGUUUACUUUGAAAAAAUCAGAGUGUUUCAAGCAGGCAUCUCGCUCUUGCAUGGAUUAGCAUGGGAUAAUGAAAUAGGACUUUGGUGCUAUUUUGUUGGUUUCGAACACCGAAGUAAUGAUGAGAAGGGACAGUCAGGGGCGCUCGUAUUCCGCCGAGAGAGGUGAAAUUCUCAGACCAGCGGAAGACGAACCACUGCGAAAGCAUUUGCCAGGGAUGUUUUCACUGA